CAGUGUCUUAAUUAGAAAGAUGAGAUAUGGGUAUAAAAUUCAAUAUAUUCAUGAAUGUAGGUUUACAUUUUAUUAUAAAAAAGAAAUUACAGCAACACUGUAUGAUAUGAGAGACGCACAGGACUAUUCCUUCUAAUUCCCCAACAAUCAUCUGCAGCUCCCUUAUUUGUUACCCGGGUGCAUCUAAUAUGAUACAUUUUUGCUUUUAGACUAUAGCAUGCCAUUACAAUCAUCUCCAGCUGGUACAAAUGUUUAUUAGUUUACGUCACCUGAUCGGCAUCGGUUGAUUGCACUACAACCGCGAUUGUAUUUGUUACUCGGAGGUGGGAGACACCCCUGUCCACUGCAAUUCGGUUCACCAGUACUGCCUUGCGGAUCAUGCACACUGUCCUCCGACGCAUUGACCAUUAUGGAGCACACAAGAAGUGCUCCUAGGGCAAAGGCGAUUAAUUUUUGUGACAAUGCCAUUGUUUGCCAACGUUUAAUUGAUAGUAGGCGAGAAAUUCUUCGGAAUUUAUAGGGAGAGCUACGAAUAUUUCUGGACAUAAGUUGAAGCUUUGUAUUUCAUUAAUUUGUUUAUGUGAACCAAAUUAAUCAUUUGCAGCUUCUUGUUUACAUUCUAUGGAAAUAGUGGUCUCC
Molecule: long non-coding RNA, 639 nt
Filed under: Panax ginseng (ginseng)
Lineage: Eukaryota; Viridiplantae; Streptophyta; Magnoliopsida; Apiales; Araliaceae
Description: long non-coding RNA (PGIN_LNC013209)
Source: RNAcentral